RNAcentral lists this ribosomal RNA (171 nucleotides) under uncultured bacterium. RNAcentral describes it as "partial 16S ribosomal RNA". It matches the Rfam family "Bacterial small subunit ribosomal RNA", at positions 1328 to 1500 of the family's 1533-position model. The record is from RNAcentral.
GGAAUUGCUAGUAAUCGCGGAUCAGCAUGCCGCGGUGAAUACGUUCUCGGGCCUUGUACACACCGCCCGUCACACCAUGGGAGUCGGUAACACCCGAAGUCUGUAGCCUGACGCAAGAGGGCGCAGCCGAAGGUGGGAUUGAUGACUGGGGUGAAGUCGUAACAAGGUAGC